AGAACUGAUAAUCCGACAGGUGGAAUGAUAGGGUAACGCCUUGAAACGCCGCCUUAAUACUCCGAAUGGCGUUUGAUGUGUAAUCAUCAAAUGUCAUAAGCUCGGUGAAGUCGGCAGAAAGCUGCCGUAAGUAACAGAUAAAUGUUACACGAAAGUGUCCCGGAGGCGGGAUAUGCAGCUGAUAUGCCGGAGGUCUAUAAA
RNAcentral lists this non-coding RNA (201 nucleotides) under chicken gut metagenome. The record is from RNAcentral.